RNAcentral lists this transfer RNA (72 nucleotides) under Ornithorhynchus anatinus (platypus). It matches the Rfam family "tRNA". From Rfam's summary of the family: Transfer RNA (tRNA) molecules are approximately 80 nucleotides in length. The record is from Rfam by way of RNAcentral. Lineage: Eukaryota; Metazoa; Chordata; Mammalia; Monotremata; Ornithorhynchidae.
AGCAGGGUGGCUCACUGGAAAGAGCAUGGACUUAGGAGUCAGAUGUCAUGGGUUCUAAUCCCAGCUCUGCCA